This 327-nucleotide ribosomal RNA is filed under the name uncultured eukaryote. Its description in RNAcentral is "partial 18S ribosomal RNA". It matches the Rfam family "Eukaryotic small subunit ribosomal RNA", at positions 1470 to 1796 of the family's 1831-position model. The record is from RNAcentral.
CCCUUAGAUGUUCUGGGCCGCACGCGCGCUACACUGACGAAUGCAACGAGCUUAUAACCUUGGCCGAAAGGUCUGGGUAAUCUCCAAAUUUCGUCGUGAUGGGGAUAGAUUAUUGCAAUUAUUAAUCUUCAACGAGGAAUGCCUAGUAAGCGCAAGUCAUCAGCUUGCGUUGAUUACGUCCCUGCCCUUUGUACAGACCGCCCGUCGCUCCUACCGAUUGAAUGGUCCGGUGAAGCGUUCGGACCGUGGCCUUUGGACGGUUCGCCGUCUGUUGGCUGCGGGAAGUUCGUUAAACCUUAUCAUUUAGAGGAAGGAGAAGUCGUAACA